UACGGGGGGUGCAAGCGUUAUCCGGAAUCAUUGGGCGUAAAGCGCCUGUAGGUGGUUUAAAAAGUCUGUUGUUAAAGACUAGGGCUUAACCCUAGAAAAGCAAUAGAAACUUUUAGACUAGAGUAUGGCAGGGGUAGAGGGAAUUUCUAGUGUAGCGGUGAAAUGCGUAGAUAUUAGAAAGAACACCGGUGGCGAAAGCGCUCUACUGGACCAUUACUGACACUCAGAGGCGAGAGCUAGGGUAGCAAAAGGG
This 253-nucleotide ribosomal RNA is filed under the name uncultured bacterium. RNAcentral describes it as "partial 16S ribosomal RNA". It matches the Rfam family "Bacterial small subunit ribosomal RNA", at positions 524 to 776 of the family's 1533-position model. The record is from RNAcentral.